RNAcentral lists this ribosomal RNA (253 nucleotides) under uncultured bacterium. Its description in RNAcentral is "partial 16S ribosomal RNA". It matches the Rfam family "Bacterial small subunit ribosomal RNA", at positions 524 to 776 of the family's 1533-position model. The record is from RNAcentral.
UACGUAGGGGGCGAGCGUUGUCCGGAAUCAUUGGGCGUAAAGCGCGUGUAGGCGGCCCGGUAAGUCCGCUGUGAAAGUCCAGGGCUCAACCCUGGGAUGCCGGUGGAUACUGUCGGGCUCGAGUCCGGAAGAGGCGAGUGGAAUUCCUGGUGUAGCGGUGGAAUGCGCAGAUAUCAGGAGGAACACCAAUAGCGAAGGCAGCUUGCUGGGACGGUACUGACGCUAAGGCGCGAAAGCGUGGGGAGCGAACAGG